ACUUGCCUACGGGAGCAGCAGUGGGGAAUAUUGGGCAAUGGGCGAAAGCCUGACCCAGCAACGCCGCGUGAAGGAAGAAGGCUUUCGGGUUGUAAACUUCUUUUGUCAGGGAUGAAGCAAGUGACGGUACCUGACGAAUAAGCCACGGCUAACUACGUGCCAGCAGCCGCGGUAAUACGUAGGUGGCAAGCGUUAUCCGGAUUUACUGGGUGUAAAGGGCGUGUAGGCGGGACUGCAAGGCAGAUGUGAAAACUCAGGGCUCAACCCUGAGCCUGCAUUUGAAACUUGAGUUCUUGAGUAC
Molecule: ribosomal RNA, 301 nt
Filed under: uncultured bacterium
Lineage: Bacteria
Description: bacterial SSU rRNA
Rfam family: Bacterial small subunit ribosomal RNA
Source: RNAcentral